RNAcentral lists this long non-coding RNA (205 nucleotides) under Elaeis guineensis (African oil palm). Its description in RNAcentral is "long non-coding RNA (EGUI_LNC022820)". The record is from RNAcentral. Lineage: Eukaryota; Viridiplantae; Streptophyta; Magnoliopsida; Arecales; Arecaceae.
CUGGCUGUCAAAAUUAUCAUUUAUAGUAUAUUGAUUUAGUUGUGUCUUUCUGAUGAUGGUCAAGUUGGCCGAGCCACACUUAGGCCUAGUCACUCGUUUAUCAGAUAUACUAAACUCUGGCAUAUUAAUGGUUGGACAUAACUAGAACUUUCAAUGGAGGCACCACAUGCCUGUUGAAGAGAUGUCUGGGGCAAAAUUGAAUGCU